Molecule: long non-coding RNA, 22727 nt
Filed under: Ananas comosus (pineapple)
Lineage: Eukaryota; Viridiplantae; Streptophyta; Magnoliopsida; Poales; Bromeliaceae
Description: long non-coding RNA (ACOM_LNC004152)
Source: RNAcentral
AAAUAUUAUCAUAUCAUAAAUAAUAUUUAGAAUACAUUUGGUGGUAUCUUUCGCGCGCGGCACUCUAUUUGAGGGGCACCGGCAGAACGGGCACGGCCGUUAGGGGGACGGCAAGCGUGAGAGCUUGGGCGAACUUAUCAGAGAGGUCGACGUCGCCGGAACUCCUCCGGCUCCGCCCACACCUCCGGGUCCCGCCCGAUCGCCCACACGUUCACCAUCACCCGCGCCUCGCUCGGCACCGCGAACCCCGCCACCUCCACGAAGCCAACUCCCGUCUCCGUCUCGGACGGUUUGCGCGGGAGCAGCAGCGGGCCCACCGGGUGCAGCCGCAUCGUCUCCUUCAUCACCGCUUGCAGAAACGGGAGACGCGCAACGUCGGAUUCCUCGAAUUCUUCCUUCGGCCCCAGCGUCUCCUGUAGCUCGGCGCGCGCCUUCGCGAGCACCGCAGGGUUGCGGAGCAGCUCCGCCAUCGCCCACUCCACCGUCUUCGAGCUUGUGUCGCUCCCCGCCGCAAAGAAGUCCUAAAUCAAUGCAACUCUCGACGGUAUUAAAAGCUUCCGGUAGAGCAGAAAGCCCUACGAGGAAACUGAAACUCCAUAGAGGCUGAUACUGUGAGAGCGAAAAUUAUUAGGAAUAGCGUAGCUAUAAAUUAUUUUACUAAUUUUUUUAUUUUCAUCCUCCGGACUAACUAAUAGAUUUUUUUUUUCCAUAUAAAUUUUAAAUUAUCUCUGUGGUUUAGUUUAUUUUUGAAUAAACUUUAAAUACCACCUCUAUAGUUUUAUACUUUCUCACUUUAUAACUUGUGGUUUAAAAUAUAUCAAGUUAGUGUCUCGUGGUUUCAUUUUUAUUUUUUCGCCAGUUUUUUCGUUAAUAUUUCGUUAAAUUAUAUAAAAAAACUUAAGAUACCCCACGUAGGUUUAUCGAAUAUUCACUUUAGUACCCUUUAGUUUUAAUUUUGUUGCUGAUUUAACGAAAAAAAUUAGUGGAAUCAAUAAUAAAAAGUUAAAAUAAAACCACAAGUCACAAAUUGAUACACUUUAAACUAUAGGGUACUAAAGUAAGAAAGUGUGAAACCACAGGGGUGGCAUUUGAAGUUUUUUCUUUAUUUUUUCUUUCUUAAUUUGUAGUUUUAAGAAUUUCACUUUUAUCUCCUUUUAAUUUAAUUUAAUCUUUUAUUUUAUAAAAAAUAGGGUACUAAAGUAAGAAAGUGUGAAACCACAGGGGUGGCAUUUGAAGUUUUUUCUUUAUUUUUUCUUUCUUAAUUUGUAGUUUUAAGAAUUUCACUUUUAUCUCCUUUUAAUUUAAUUUAAUCUUUUAUUUUANGCAUAUUUUUUCUUUCUCAAUUUGUAGUUUUAAGAAUUUCACUUUUAUCUCCUUUUAAUUUAAUUUAAUCUUUUAUUUUAUAAAAAAUAUUAUAUGAAAUAGUAUGACAAAAUAAAAAUUUUAAACAAACUAUUGGAUGACAAAAUAAAAAAUAUGCUAAAUUAAAAGAGUAAAGUAUAACUUUUUUAAUCGUGUGAUAACAAAAUAAAAAUAAGCUAAGCUAUAGAGGAAUAAAAAAAAUUUGAAAUAGAAUGAUAAAGUAAAAAUAAGCUAUUUCACUAGAAAGACAAUUUAAAAUUUACUUAUUUAUAUUAAUUUAUUAUCUAGUUUAUUUAUUUUUUAUUUAUAAACUUAUGAAUUAAAAAUUACAAAAACUUCUCCGUCUUUCAUGGAAGAGUGGGGUCCACCACAUCCUAUUUGUCGUGUGGGGGUCUACCCCUCUCUCUCUCUCUCUCUCUCUCUUUUUCUUAUUUUUUUCUGCACUCUAUCAUCGGCAGUCCCACUCACACUUCCUCAUCUUUUUUAUUUUUUGAUAAUACAUUUCUUACCCUUCCUCACUUCACCUUCUUCUAUCAAUCACACACACACAGGAAAGAGAGAGAGAGAGAGAAAGAGAGAGAGAGAGAGAGAUAUCACUUUUUUCUAUCAAUCAGAGAGAGAGAGAGAGAGAGAGAGAAUUGGAGGAAAAAAAAAUUUCCAAACACGAAACACUCCUCUUCCUUCUCCUCUCGAUCCUCUUCUCCCUCACCCCUUCUCACUACUGUGAAGAAGGAGAAAUGGAAGCCCUAAUAGUGGAUCGAAUCUUGUAAAACAACCGUUGCACUCUAAAAGCUUAAACUGUUAGAAAACGGUAUUUAAACAUUUUUAUAUUUAACACUCCCCCUCACGUUUGGGCUCGAGACUAUUUAAUCGGCUCAUGACGUGGGCUUGAAUUAAAUGGGAGAAAAUUAAUAUGUUAGGAGCCUGGCGUGACUCGAACUCAAGACCUCCUGCUCUGAUACCAUGUAAAACAACCGUUGCAGUCUAAAAGUUUAAGCUAUUAGAGAACGGUGUUUAAACAUUUUUAUAUUUAACAAAUCCACAUAAGCCUCCACCCCUCCGUGCACCGGAACACCAUUUUCCUUUGCAAGUGCGUCUAUGCCGAGUUUCCCUCCGAGGUCCUCACUUCUUAUCCCCUAUUUUUCAAUUUUUUUUUUUUUGUUUGUGCGUUGUUGUUAUUUUUUUGGAGCAACUGAGAUGAUGUUUUGGAGUAUCUAGAGCUAAUUCCUUUGGUAGAUCGAGCGGCAGAAGCAAUUACUGUAUUUGUUCUUCCAAUAGCUAAAAUCACUUUUAUAUUUCCAGAAGCGUUUAGGCGUACCUUUAUUCUCUUCAUAGUAAUGGUUUUUUUUUUUUAUUUCACCAAAAAGAAGGUUGUGAUUGAAAACGGCUGUUUGUGACCUCAGAGAAAACAAUUAAGAUAUGAUUAGAAGGUAAUUGAUUGAGAACUACAUACCGUGAGGAGAGUUAUGAUCUCUCGCCGUUGAAGCUUGGAUUGGGAGUGCAGCUCUAGAAGGGAGUCCAAGAAAUCACCCUUCUUCUCUGCGCCGGAGUUCAUUUCGGCCAAGCGGUGGUCAAAUAUGUCGCCGAAGAACUCGUAGAACCUUCUAAGGUAGCUGGCAUUGACGCGGCGCCGGCCUUGUAGGUCGAGCAAUCGGAAAAAGGGAAAGAAGUCCGAGAAGUUCAGCCUCCCGAUCUCCUCGAUGAAGCUCGAGACCAGCCGCUUGAAUUCUUGGUUAGAUGCCUCUUCGGCCGAUCUGAGGUCCACCACAUCCUCCGAGAAGAAGAUGUUGGAGAUGAUGUUGAGCACCGCAUUGAAUACCACAUUGCGAAUCCUAUUAGUACAACAACAUAUUUCUCAAUGCUCAAACUUGAACAAUAUUAAUAAAUUAUUUUAUAUAGUAUCGUAAUGGAAAAUUCUAAAUUAAAAUUUUAUGAGACCACUUAAAUUUAAAAUAUUUGUCUGGCUAGUAUUGAAACGUAAGAAACUCACGGUAGACAAUCUUCGAAAAAGAUGUUGGACUAGAGAGCAGAAUUGUAUACUCUUCAUAAAAAAGGAAGAGAUGAUUCAUCAUUUUUUCGCCGCAUGAGAAGUGGCCAAAAUUUUAUUAGAAUGCUUGAUGUCAAAUAAGAAGAGAAUACACUGUAGUACUUCAGGUUACAUUCUUUGGGAGACGAGUCGACUUAGAGGAGGCUCAAUAAGGUAGAAGGAAAUAGCGACAAAUGCUUGCAUUUGGUGGGUUAUCUGGCUCGAACAGAAUAGACGUAUUUUCCAAAAGAAAAAGCACUUGCAAAAUCAGAUAUUAGCCGACGUCCGUAUGGCUCGAAAUCAGUGUGCUAAACUUCGGGUAUUAUAACACCUUCUCUUACGAGUCUCCAACGGUGCGUCUAAUUUCGUCGUUUUUCUUGUCUUGUAUAAAGGAUCUAUACUCCUCUCCUUUUCCUUUUUUUCUUUCUUUGUGUUUUUCUUUUUCUACUCCUUUCCUAGAGGCCUGGUUGUCUCAUUGUGUAAUUGAAUGAAGCGGUAGCAUGUUACCAAUUUUUCAAAAAAAAUUUAUGAGACGUCUGCUCUUAUUUAAUAUUUACUCUCUAUUUUUUAUACAAAUUUGCAAUUUGGUUCUUUUAAAAAAAUUUUCAAGUCAAUUAAAUAUAAAAUAAUUAAGUAUAAUUUUCUAUGGCUGCGUAUAAUUGUUUAUUCCAAGAACAGAUAAAUUUGUAUCCGAUUAUAUCAGUUUAUUUUAGGAAUGAGGGUGGAACAGCUGUUCUAAAAUUAUAUCAGAUUAUACCAGUUUAUUUCAGACAUAAAAGAAAAACUAUUAUUUUUGAAUACCAAAAUUAAUGUUCAGAACAAAAGGGGAAAUAAGUUUCCGAAUAAAAAGCUAGCUAAAAGUUUACACUCACAUAAGAUUCCCUGAAACUAUAGAACUAGAUUGAAUCGAAAGUACGAAUUCACUAAAAAAAAUUUUUGGAAAGAUUCGUUAGGGUUCAUAAAAUAACUCAAAGUAUAAAUUAAUAGAAUAUUAUGAUUUUAGACAACAACGAUAGUUUCACUUAAUUACCUGACGGGCUGUCCGGCGCGGCAACGGAGGUUUGCGACGAGCUCGCGGGCCGGGCGCUCGCGCACGGCGCGCGUGGCGUCGAGGCUGCGGGGGAAGAAGAUGUGGGUGGUGAUGACGGCGCGGAGGUGCUUGCGCAGGGGGUCGCCCGUGGGGAGCCAUAGGGUGGAGGUCUCGUGAUGGCCGAGGGCGCGCAUGGCGUCGGGGACCCAGCGCCCCGAGAGGGCCUGGUCCUUCUUCUGAAGGACCUCGCGCGCCGCGGCGGGGGAGGAGACCACCACGGUGGUGGUGAGGCCGAGCCUCACGGACAUGACCGGCCCGUAGACCCGCGCCAGGCGCGCGAGGGAGCGGUGCGGCUGCGCGCCCACGUCGAGGAUGUUGCCGAUGAUCGGUAGCGGCGUCGGCCCCGGGGGGAGGGGGAGGGGGAGUGCUCCGGUUUUCCCCGCUCCCGGGCUUAGCUUCCGCUUGACAAGGUAGAGAAAUGAGAGGAUGAGUGAGAUCCAAAGAAAGGAAAUUGUGAACUCCAUUUUUCCGCGGAGAUGGUACAUGGAUAUGGUAUGUAGAGCAGGUUAUCUUUAUAUAUAGCUCUGUUUCCAGGGAGGAAGAGUGAUAAUUUAGUUUAAUCUCGCUGAAGUGGCAAAAUGCAAAGCGAAAGAGGGACAUCAAACCAAUCAGAUCAAAAAUAUAUAGUAUAAAGAAAGUGAUGUCCUAACUUCCAUAUAUAUCAUACACUAGUAAAAUACCCGCGCGAUGCUGCGGAUAUAAAAAUAUUUUUAUAAUAAAUUUUAAUUUUUUUAAUAUUUUUAUAUAGUUUUAUAAAUCUAAUUAUUAAUUAAAUAAAAGUUAUAUAAAAAUAAUUUAAUAGUUAAAUCUAUUUAAAUAAAAGUCAUUAAAAUUGGUAUAUGCGCAAAGUAAUUUAUACAAUAGUUUAUUUUAUAAAAAAUUAUAUGAAAAGGGAAUUGCAGAUAAUUCUAUCGGCAAAAUAAUUUAAAAAUAAAUCAAUAAGUAGAAGGAAAAAAAAAUUGCAGAAGUAAUUGUUUAAUAAAAUUAAUUUUAUAUACAACAUACACUAUAUUUUAAAAAUUUUACUCCUGAAACUUAAUUCCGUAUUUUUUUUAUACAAUGAAAUUUUAUGUGAUUUAAAUUUCAUCUAUCAAAUUAGAUUUUAUUAUGCGAUUUAUUAUGUGUAUUUUUAAUAAAAUUAUUAUUAUAUUGUAUAAAACUAUUAUUAAUAAAUUUAAUUGAUUAAUUAAUUUCAUAGAGUUUAGAGAUUUAAAUUUAAACUUUGAAGCUUAAAUUUAGCAAAUAAAUAAUAUAAGCUGAAAAAUAAAUUUAAAUUAAUAGUAACAUAGUAAAAUUAGAUAAAUUGCAAACUUUAAAAAUUUUGAAGUUUACAAAAUGCUUAAAAUUUAGAAAUAAAUAUGUAUUGAGUAAGAAUUUAGAAUUUAAAAUUUAAAAUAAAAAAAUAUAAAAAUUAGAAAUUUAAAACUUUAAAAUUUGGAAGUAAUCAACCAAUUUUAUACUUUGAUAAAAAAAAUUUUUAAAACUUUAUAUAUAUGUAUAUAUAAAUAAAUAGAAGGAAAAUAAAAUGAAGAGAUAUUGUUUAAUAAAUUAAUAUAAUAUACAACGUUACACUAUAUUUUUAAAAUUUGUUACUCCUGAACUUAAAUCCGGUAUUUUUUUAUACAUGAAAUCUUUAUGUGAUUUUAAUUGCUAUCUAUAAGGAUUAUGAUUUUAUUAUUGCGGUAUAUGGUGUUUUUGAAAAAAUUAAAGAUAUGGAAUAUAUACUAUAUUAAUUAAUAAUAAUUAAUUAAUAGGAUGAGGUAAAAAUGUUGAAGCUUAAAUUAAGAAAUAAAAAAUAGUAAAAAAUAAAUAUAUAAAAAAAAUUUAAAGAAAAUUAAAACAUAAAAUUUUGAGUUUUAAAAAGCUUAAAUUUAGAAAUGGUAUAUAAUAAGUAGAGAAGGAAUUAAAAUUAAAUUAAAAAAUAUAAAAUUAGAAUUUAAAACUUUAAAAUUUGAAGUAUCAAAUUUUUAUUUUUGAUAAAAAUUAUUUAAUAAUAUAUAUAUAUUAUAUUAAUUAUUAUAUUUUAUAUAGGAAGAGAGAAGGGGGUUUGGAGGCACGUUUGCACCGGUCCCUCAAACUCCUUUAUGUAGUUAGAUUAGAUAGAUUGUGAGCAGAGGAAAAAUGUCGAAUUAAGCACCUUCCAUAAGUGUUAUGCACGGUGUGACGUGUGCACUGAGUGACACAUGUACGAAGGAAACGGAGAAACAUCCUAUUUAUGAAGUGGUAAUGAGAAUUCAAUAUAAUGGGCUGUUUAGUUCCCAUUUAUUCAUUGUUGCUGAAUUAAUUUUAACUUAAAGAAUUGAUUUUGAUUUACAGUUACAUGUAACAUUGGGCUGGUCCAAAAAAAAAUUGUAAUUUUUCUGAGGUAAUUUUAUGAAAUCACUAGACAAAAUAUUUUUACUGCUUCAAAAUAAUAUUUUUUUUUUCAAAUUUUAUUUUAAAAUUUAAAUUAAAAUUAAAUUCGACUUUAAAAUUUAAAUUUUUAAUUUAAAAAAUAAACCAAAAUUUAAAAUUGUUAUUUGAAUUUAAAAGAUAAAGUUAAAAUUAAAAAUUUUAAAUUUUAAAUUAAAAAUCUGAACCUAAAAUGUGAUUUUUUUGAGAGAGAUAGGAAGUAUGGUUACCCACUUUGGACUUAAUUUAGAAAUAAAUUUUGCUAAAAUUUGAAAAUUUACAAAUUAAAACUAACCUCUAAAUUUAAAUUAAAAUUAAAAGUUUCAAACAUUUAAAUUUUAAAAUUUAAAAUUUUAAAAUUUAAGAUUUAAAAUUAUGAAAUUUAAAAUUUAAAUUAUAAAAUAACAAAUUUUGAAAUUCCACAAUUUAAAAUUUAAAAUUUAAAUUCAAAAUUCAAAAUUUAAAUAAAAUAUUGAAAUUGAAAAUUAAAAAUUGCCAAUUAAAGUUUUAUUUAAAAUUUAAAAGUUAAAAUUUAAAAUUUAAAAUUUAAACUUCUUUGGCUCUCUAAGUAUCAGUCUAUUUACAAUAAGAAAUACUCAAGUGUACCUCACUUUUGGGCAACCUAUUAUAUUGUUAAUGUGUUGGCCUACAGAUAUAGUCAUAUAGUGGGUUUAAAGUUUAGUGUUUAAAAUAUAAUCAUAUUGCUUAAGAUUUAACUAGUUUAGAGAGCCAGGCGAUGCGACAGAUAGGCAUUAUUACAAAUAUAUUUUUUUGUUACCAAAUAGUUUUGAAAUAAAUUCAAAAAAAAAAUAGAGGCAAUUUUCAAUUAGAAUUCAGUGUAAAACUUGAAGAGGAGACGAUUUUCGCCAUACAAAAUUCAAUAUAAGUAAAUAUGACAAAAAAGGGCUUCCAUCUGUGAAAAUGAAUCAAUCAAUUCACCAAUUAUACCAAAAAGAUCCAUAUGAAGUUAGAUUCAACCGACUACUUACAACUUAAUUGACUGAAAUUAGUUGAUUGAAAUUAUAGGAACAUUAAUUUGUGAUAUAAUUUGAACUUGAGCCAAAGAGAUUGAUAGCCAGAUUUUCAUUUCGAACAUAAUCGAAUCGCCCUAACAUAAAUUCCACCAUGGAGGUGGAAAAUAAUUUUGAUUUCGAAAGAGCGAAGAAUAAAAACUUUUUUCUGCACUACUGAUUAUUUAAAUAUCAAUCUUUAAAUGUCUGCAAAGUGCAUAAUAUCUGUUGAAAUCUUAGUUGUAAUAAUUUAACCUCUCAUUCCUUCUUUGCAGGGAAGUAUUUUUCUAGAAUUUACCAAAUUGUGCAAAGAUCUUACUGUCAUACUUAUUAUUGGAUUUGUCUUACUGCAAGUCUUGCCUUCAGCUGUCGUUUAUUUUGCACUUAUUCAUGCAAGGCAAAGUUUACUAUUUAAGAUGGAAACAUAGUUUAAAUGUUAAAUCUAUUUAUUUUUAAUAAUGGCUAAUAAAUAUCUCCCUAUGUUGUUUGUGCUCCUAAAUACCUUUUCUUAGGUGGGUUGAGGUAGUUUCUAUCAGAUAGAGUUGUUCUGCAGGAAUGGCCUCCAGAAAUAUCUGGACUGCAGGUCAGCUAUAGCUUAUAAAGGAUCUUUUAUUUAUUGAAUUUCUCUUAGACUAGCUCAUUUAACUUGCUUCAUUGUGUUAGAAUUUUAGCUGUUAUUGUUCCUUUUUCUGGCUUUUGCAUGUUUAAACUAUGAUAUGUUUUUAUUUUCUUUAAUUUUCAGAAAAUAUUACUCGAUAUUUUUAAGCUAACUGGUCAGCAUACGGGUAGUUUUUGGUUAGCUUAUAACCUUAGACUCAAAAGUCUUUGCAGCAAACAGAUUUUAAUUGUUGCAGAAAUGAUAAGAAAAGUGGAGAUUAGAAUUAGUGCUGUUGGUUAGGUUAUCUUUUGUAAAAGUGCUAACCUUGCAACCAUGGGUUCAACCUGCAACCGUGGGUUCAAAUCUCCCUUGGAGCAAAAAUUUUGCCUUUUUUGAAAUCGUACACUCAAUAUAAUUUUUACUUUAGCAAAAUCUGUAGGAGGAAUUCCGGUCGUACCUUAGAGUGGUAUUUUCGAUUAAUCCGGCACGAAGGCACAGAAAAAUUCAAUUGUUAUUAAAAUCUAACUAAUUUGUGAUGAUAAUUAAAUAAAUCAACUUACAAAUGAUUGCUAAAUUUCAAAAAAGAAAAUUAUGGAAGAAAAAUAUCAAACAAUUGAUCCGGAAGCGUACGAGACACUGCUCUAAGGCGUAUUUCCGUCCUUCGUGCGGGAUUAACCGAAAACACCGUCCCAAGAUAUGAUCGGAAUUUCUCCUCCUAUGUACACGAACGCGGGAGAGAUUGACGGAGUUUCUUUCAACACUCAGCGAUAAAGAUAUCAAAUAAAAUAAACUUAAAAUUAAAAUAAAAAAUUCUUGUCUCUUUUUCUUCCCUCUACUAUGUUCAUCUCUGUGAACAGUACAUAAAACAUGGCUCUCUGUCAUGUGUUCUACAAACUCAUGGACAGUGGAGUCCACUCUAUAAAAGCAGAGGUGAAGAAGAAAAAAAACAUUGCACAACGUUCCACUGUGGAACGUCUGCGCCCACUUCGCGUUCGCGCGCGAGCAAGCGUGAGCAAAUCUUAACAAACGCGCAUGAACAUAAAAAUAAAUAAAAAUAAUAAAUUAAAUAAUAAAAAAGAAUAAAAUAAUUAAUGAAUUAAAAAUAAUAAUUAUUAAAAAAUUUUGAAUUUUUCAUCAACAAAAUCAUAAUUUACCUAUGAAUCAGCAAAAAAAUAAAAUAAAAUAAAAUACCACGCAUGAACUGCAUGCUUCCUAUUAUGGUGAAGUGGGAAUUUGGUAAUUGAGAAGAGUAUACUCAAACCCCACCUAUCAUUUGAUACAUUUAUUAAAUUCUAAUGGGGCUCUCAGGGUUAAUUCAUGAGAAGGGAGGUGCAAAUUUGAUUAAAGAGUCUCUACAGAUGUGUCUUGCAGACCCAAUGUCCUUCAUAUAUAAUUGACAAUCACUGAUUCACUGUAGCUUCUUUUUUUUUUUGUCAUGUUUUGAUUUUCUAUGAUAGUGCUAUGUGAAUUUGGCUAUUUCAAAAAAUCCAGUUCAUGCAAACGCACGAUAUUAUAUUAACAAAUUAAAGUUUAAAAACUUAAUUAUAAUUAUUUAAUUACUUUAUCUAUAUAUUGUGAUUUAAUCUUUUACACUAUUUGUAUAAUUAUUUACUGUUUUUCAAUUUAGGCACCGGUAAAUAUCUGAAGGUCUUGGACCUUUGAACUUUUUUUUUAUUUCCUGUAGCGAAUAAUUUUACCAAAUCUUUUGAAGAAAUAUUUUUAUGUAGGAUCUUGCAAAUGAGAUUUUCAAGUUAUUCACAGCAACACAAAUUGGAAAAGUCUUCUUCAUGACCAAUGAUUUGCAGGUUUGUAUUGUCUCAAGAAGUUGGUAGUAAUCAUUUAGGAUUUAUUGCGGCAAUUACAUUUCGAUCUAACUAUUCCUCGCAAAACUACUACCGCGACCGUUUACUUGCAUAUUUUUUUUCGUAAAUACAACAUUAGCAUCCAAUAGCUUUCUUUUCAGGAAAUAUAAGUCUGCAAUUGUAUAUAAAGCUAGAUGAUAAGCAAAACCCGAUUGUAUAGAUUACAAACACAAUCCAUCACCCUCAAAUCAUUCAAUAACAUGAAUUUAAGUUUAAGUUUAAGUUUAAGUUUAAGUUUAUGAGAAAUAAUUAAAAAAGCAUGAUCAAUACCAAACAAGAUAUUAGUUACCCAUAGAGAGUGUCCAAUAUAAAGCUCGAUUUGACUCACUAAUAAUAUUUUAGAGGUGGGUGGGGUUUACCUUCUAUAGCAUUAUAUAAUUUUUUAAAUAAAUUUCGAAACACAUUAAUUUUCUCAUUUAUCACAUUUAGAUUGUGCUAUCAUAUUUAUUUUCGUUUGAUUGUGGGACAAAGUAACGAAUAAUUGGUACUGUUUACUCAAAUUUUAUCUUUAGCCUGAAAAUGACUUUGCACCAUUCAAAUCUUGGAAUCUUUGAUUGUGUUUGAUUUGGCAAAGUAUCUACUACUGAAUGGUCGUUGUUAUUGCAGACCAAUAAUCACACAAUCAUUUUGAUACAGACAUCUCAAAAUAGGACAACCAGAACAUUCAUGAAUUAUAGUUUAAUUAGUCAAACCAUGAAUAGUACGUAUAUUCAUUAUUUACACAACAACUCAUUUGCAAUUUUAAAAUAUAUUUUCAAUUGAUUUUUUAUAUUAUAAAGGACUCAUUAAAAUACUUAUAUUAAAUCAUUUGGCAUACUAUCCUUGACUAGGAUAUAAUUUUACUGUACUAGAAUUUAGUAACUUUGUCUUUUUUCUUUAUAUACAGCGUCUUUUUCCUAUUCAUUGAAAGCAUCGAUUGUUCUUUAUUUUUUCUUCUCUUUGAAAACAUUGAUAGCUCUUGAUUUUUCUUCUAUCUCUUGCAGUGCGUAGUGUUUGUACUGUUGAACAAAUAAUGGGAUUGCCUUAGAUCUAAUUACUAUAAUAUUUAUUUGGUCAUUGAGACCUGACUAAUACAUUGGCUACAUGGUUAGAUACUUAUUUAUUUCAUACUUGUCAGCUAUUGUAUUAUAUUUGUCUCUUCAUAUGUGUUAAAAAACAUAGGCCAAUUUGUAUAAAAAAUUUAUUAGGUUUGAGAUUUUGCAAAAAUAAAUCGUCUUUUUAGAUUUUGCAAAUUCGAAAUGAAUUUUCAAAAAACUGACCAAAAUACCCUUAUUCGCUUUUCUCUCAUUCUUUUUCUUCUUUCACUCAGAAGAGGGCGGUGGAGGCGGAGGUGGAGGAGAGGCAGAGGCUGCCCGCCUCGCCUCUGUCUCACGUGCCCUCGCUCUCGUCCUCGGCCUCGCCCUCGCCCGCACACCCUACCUUCGCCUUCCUCGCCUCCCCUCCUGCCGAGGCCACGUCUCGACCUUCUUCUUUUUUUUCUCUCUCUNUCUUUUUUUUUUUUUCUCUCUCUCUCCGACCUUCCUCCACCGCCUUCCCGGCUCUUUAAAAUAGGAAAGAGGGUAGCGUUAUGUCCUCUUCCUCACCUUUGUUUUCUCUUUUUUUUUUUUUUUCUCUUCAACCCUUCUCUACCGCCUCCGCAACCCUUCACGACGAUAACGAAGGCAAUGCCGCAACCUCUUCCUCCACCUUCGCCGGUGUAGGCACCGACAUCGGUGUCGGAGAAGGAUGACUCGGAGCAAGUGCGGGUGAGAGCUACCCGAAAAAAAUAAUUUGUAGAAAAUAAAAAAUAAAAAGAAUAAAAAAUAAAAUAUAAAGAAAAAUAAUUUUUUCUACAAAAAAAAGAAUAACAAAAGAGAAAAGAAAAAGAUGAUGAAUUUGCACUAUUUCAAGGAAUGUUGCAUUAUUUUUACUCUCUUUAAGAGAAAAAAUAUUUUUUGGAUGAAAAUUACACUCUUUGAAUAAAAAUUAUACUAUUAGGACAAAAAUUACACUAUUUAGCCAGAAAUAGGAGAAGGAGAAGGAGGAGAAAUAGUGCAAUUUUCGGCCAAAUAGUACAAUUUUCUAUCAAAGAGUGAAACUUUCGUUCAUAGAGUGCAAUUUUAUCUAAAAAAAGUAUAUUUUUUCUCUCAAAAAGUGUAAAUUUUUUAAAAAAUAGUGCAACGUUUUUAUGAAAUAAUGCAACAUUCUUUUGAAAUAGUACAAAUUCAUCAUCUUCUGCUUUUCUCUUUGAUUUUUUAUUUUUCUUGUAGAAAAAACUAUUUUUCUUUAUAUUUUAUUCUUUAUUCUUUAUAUUUUUUAUUUUCUGCAUAUUUUUUCCUCAGCUCUGUUCUUACCUGCACUUGCUCUGAGUCCUCCUUCUUCGGCAUCGAUGUCGGUGCCUACGCCGGUGAAGGUCGAGGAACAGAAUACUGCACGGUCCUCGUUAUCGUCGUGGAGAGUCGUAGAGGUGGUAGAUGAGGGUCGAAGAAAAAAAAAAGACCGAGGAGGAGGACGUGAUACUACCUUCUUUACUGUUGUAAAGAGCCGAAGAGGCAGUUGAAGAGUGUUGGAAAGGAAAAAAAAAAGAGUCGAGAUGCGACCUCGAUGGGGUCGAAGGCGAGAAAGGCGAAGGGAGGGUGCACAGGCAAGGCGAGGGCGUGCGGGACCGAGAUGAAGCAGAGCGCAUCCGCCUCCGCCUCCGCCUCUGCACCCUCUUCGGAGAAAAAGAAAAAAAAGGAACGCGAGUAAAAAAGAAAUAAGUGUAUUUUGGUUAGUUUUUUAAAAAUUCGGUCUGGAUCUGUAAAAUCCAAAAAAACGGCCUACUUUUGCAAAAGCUCAAAACUAAUGAAUUUUUUUAUACAAAUUGGCAAAAUAUAUAUAUGUGUACGCACAUUGAUAGUGAAUAAAUUAAGAAAGCAUAUACACAAAUUGGCAGGUAAACAAAAGUAAAUAUAUAUAGAAGCAUUACGGAUUGGAGAACUUAAAACAAUUAGGGACAAAUGACGGCAAAUCAACCGCAGAAAAUUAAGAAAUUCAUGAUUAAUAGAGAUCAAUAUCAACAUAAAAUUUAUUAUAUGAUAAAUAAAUCAUAGCAAACAAACAAAGCAACAAAUUCAAAUCAAACCUGUCGAAUAUGAUUAACCAUUACAGCCAAGUGCAGACAAUUUUCUGAGACAAAAUACAUAGUAUUCACUAUUUUUAGGGGAAAACAAUGCGGUAAGUAGGCAAACUAAUUAAAAUUGCAAAAAAAAUGAAAGGCUCACAUCAUGUCCAGUUAAAAGAGGCGGCACAGGUAUUGCCUGUUUGAGCCUUUCAUUCGCAAUCUGCCGAUAAAUCCCAACUUAGUUUCAGAUAAAAGAUUGACAAAGGUAGUAAUUAUAAAUUUUACAUUUACAAUGUUUGUUCCUAUAGAAAAUGCUGGAUUCUGAUACGGCUUUGAAAAAAUGAAUAGAUAAGUAAAUAAUUAAAUUUUAGGGAUGUUCGAAGAAUUGUGAGUUCAAUGAUUAGCAUAAAGUUGGAUAAAUAAAACUAUUGAUAUCUUCCGAAAUAUCUAGAAUAAUAUGAUCGGAAGUUGACAUAUAAGAAAAAGAAGAGGAAAUAAAGAAUCUUACCCAAGGGUGUGCGGCGGCAUAAUCUUCGAUAUGCUCGACAUGUAAUCGAGUCAACCAUAAUCCAAAUAAAACAUCCGGAAUAGAGUACAUUUGCUGCAUAGAAAAAAUUGAUGAAUGAUCUAUUAUAUAGCCAACAAAAAUAAUGGAAAGGAUGUAAAACAAUUCUUCGGAUUCAAUGAAUAUAGAAAUCCGUUGCGGCGUAAGAUCGGAGGAGCUGAGAAGACAAUAAAUUAGAACCCUUUUUUUGGCAAGAGAAGGAUAUGGAAACGAAGCGCCGCAAUCCAUAACAACAGGGACGGAAGAAGGAUCGAACCAAGUCGGAGUGACAAAUCUAGGGCGACGAACCAAGGUCUAAGGAUGCAUGAACCGGUUUGAUCAAUAAGAAAAUAGACUUAUUCAAUGGAAGAAAAUUAGUAGCCGAUUUAUCUUUCCAUGUGUGAACCAAAAAUAAAUGAGUAGAUAGAAACUGAUAGGUGGGGUCGAAGGACCUAUAAUCUAUAAACUUAAAUUUAAGUGACAAUUAUGUCUCACAUUAGCCCAGAUUAACCAAAUGGUGCCACGUGGACAAAGAUUAUAGGAUUUAAUAUAGGUUUAUAGACGAUUCAAUGGAAGAAAAUUAAUGGCCGGUUUAUCUUCCCAUGAGUGAACCGAAAAUACAUGAGUAGAUAAAAACUGAUAGGUGGGGUCGAAGGACCUAUAAUCUAUAAACUUAAAUUUAAGUGAUAGGUAUGUCCCACAUUAGCCCGGAUUAACCAAAUGUUGCCACGUGAAUGAAGAUUAUAGGAUUUAAUAUAGGUUUAUAGACGAUUCAAUGGAAGAAAAUUAGUGGCCGGUUUAUCUUUCCAUGAGUGAACCGAAAAUAAAUGAGUAGAUAAAAACUGAUAGGUGGGGUCGAAGGACCUAUAAUCUAUAAAAUUAAAUAUAAGUGCUAGGUAUGUCCCACAUUAGCCCGGAUUAACCAAAUGCUGCCACAUAGACAAAGAUUAUAGGAUUUAAUAUAGGUUUAUAGACGAUUCAAUGGAAGGAAAUUAGUGGCCGGUUUAUCUUCCGAUGAGUAAAUCGGAAAUAAAUGACUAUAAACUGAUAGGUGGGGUCAAAGAAUCUAUAAUUUAUAAACUUAAAUUUAAGUGAUAGGUAGGUUCCACAUAAGCCCGGAUUAACCAAAUGCUACCACGUUGGACAAAUAUUAUAGAAUUUAAUAUAGAUUUAUUUAUUUAUUUAUAGAUUUAUAGAUAUAAAUUAUAGAUUAUAGAUGAAAGGAAAUUAGUGGCCGAUUUAUCUUCCCAUGAGUGAACUGGAAAUAAAUGAAUACAUAUAAACUGAUAGGUGGGGUCAAAGGAUCUAUAAUCUAUAAACUUAAAUUUAAGUGAUAGGUAGGUCCCACAUAAGCCUGGAUUUACCAAAUGCUGCACGUGGACAAAGUUUAUGGAAUUUAAUAUAGAUUUAUAGAUUAUAGACGAUUCAAUGGAAGGAAAUUAGUGGCCGGUUUAUCUUCCCAUGAGUGAACCGGAAAUAAAUGAUUAGAUAAAAACUGAUAGGUGGGGUCAAUGGACCUAUAAUCUAUAAAAUUAAAUUUAAGUGACAGGUAGGUCCCACAUAAGUCCGGAUUAACCAAAUGCUGCCAGGUGGACAUAGAUUAUGGGAUUUAAUAUAUCUUUAUGUUUAUAGAUUAUAGAUUAUAGAUAUUGUUUGGUAAUUAAUUAUUAAAAUAUAAUAAUAAUAUCGUCGUAUCAUCUAUCUAUAUCUAUUCUGCCAAAUUAAAAAAAAGUUUGGGAGGUCUCGGAGUAACAUGUGUCCUCCCAACCCUCCCCUAGUCUCUCUUCCUCUCUAUAUAUAAUAUAUAUUUAUAGAAUUUAAAAAUUUUAUUAUGUAAAAUUUUAGAUUUUUUUAUAUCAAAAUUUAAAAAUUUUGAUACUUUCAAAUUUCAAACUUUCAAAUUUUAAAUUUUAUAUUUCAAAUUCUAUAUUUCAAAUUUUAAUUUAUAAUAUUUAUUUUCAUAUUUUAAACUUCAAAAUUUAAAAUUUUAAAUACCUAAACUCUAUAAAAUUAAUUAAUCAAUUUUAUUAAUAAUUAAUUAUAUAUAAUAUAAUUAAUUAAUUUUAUUAAUAAUAUACGUAAUAAAUCAUAUAAUAAAAUUUAAUCUGAUAGACGAAAUUUAAAUCACAUAAAAUAUCGAUAUAUAAAAAAAUACAAAAUUUAAAUUUUAGAAGUAAGAGUUAGGAAAAUGAUGUGGGUGUGUGUGUGUUAUAUAUAAAUAUAUAUAUAAUAUAUAUAUAAUUUAUAUAUAUAUAUAUAUAUAUAUAUAUACAUAUUAUAUAUAAUAUUUUGCUUAUAUAUAUAUUAUUGCACCAUUGUUUUCGAUGAUAGAGCUUCCAAUCGCGACGGUCGUCGUUGACUGAAUCUAUACACUUGAAGUGUUUAGAUCAAUUCAAAUCUUUUUACAUCAUUUACUAAUGAUGUAAAGGUUUAAAAUUUGUAAUUUAAUGGUCCGAGUGGAUGUGUUUCUCGUUAAACAGGCGUAAAAAUAUCAAAUCAAUUAAAUUUUUAUUAUAAAUUUAAGCUUUAAAGCAAGAUCUAUACCUUUGAUUUGAUACAUACUUCUAUCAUCCGUUUAAGUAUUCAUUUCAAGUCGUCAUUUUUGUAUCUACUUCGAUUGUAAGAGAAAAAUACGAAAAUGUAUGAAUUGCAUUCUAACAGCUUCAUGGUAUAGUAUCAUAUUCAACGUGCGAUCGCGAUUUUUGGAUGACUCAUCAUCGAAUAAAUGGAUGGCAAGGAGCCCAUAUGGCUAUAGAUUAAGUAUAGCUCAAAUAUAUAUAGAUAUAUAAUAUAAAUUAAUAUAAGAGAGAGAGAGAGAGAGGAGAGAGAGUAGAAGAGAGAGAGAGAGAGAGAGUUGAGCUAGAAACUAUGCUGGUAGUAAACAGCCGUUUUAGCUACGAUUUGUUCGACUGAUAGAACUUCCAAUUGAAUGAAUCGGCGCUCGUUGAACAUAAUCUAAACCAUUUAACGACUAGAAAUCAAAUUUCACGACAUUUAGAUAUUGUUCUUUUAUCUAUAAUGAACGAAAAAUGAAUGCUAGAAAAUGAAACUCUUAAAAAUUAAUAUGAGUCUUGUAUCAAGACAGAGAGUAAUAGAUCUUGUUUAAAUAGUUUAAAAUGAAUUUAAACAAUUUAUGAUUUGGGAUUAUCUUGUACGCCGUUAAACGAGAAAUUAUCGCCUUUAUGGAUCAUUAAAUUUACAAUUUUGAACCUUAGAUCAAUUAGGCAAAUGAUGUCGAACAAGUUUUGAAAUUUGAUUUUAUAAACACUUCAGUAGUAUAUGAUCAUGUCUAACGAGCGAUCGUUCAAAUUGAAUUCUAUCAUCGAAAUAAAUUGGUAUUAAAACGGCUCGGUUACUACCAUAGAUACUAGCUCAACUCUACUAUAUAUAUAUAAUAUAUUAUAUAUAUAUAUAUAUAUUAUAGGUGCUGGCUAUGUGCUUGUAAAGCACCAAGCUUUGUGCUUGUAAUUUUUUUUUCCGUUAGAUCUACUUUUGAUCAUUUUCAUACCGUUAGAUCAUACUAUUAAACCAACCACCCAUCUCAACCUCUAUUGGGGCCGCACAUUAUCCUAACCACACAUUCCUAAUUCAAAAGCCAAAACUUACAAGCAUCAUAUAAUGGUACUUUUAAAAUUGAGUCAAUUUUCUAUAUAUAUUAUAUAAUAGUAUAUAUAUGAUUAUAUAAUAUAUAUAUAUAAUGAUAAUAUAAUAUAUAGUAAUUACUUUAUUAAACACGGAUUCUCUACCUUUUAUUUUCUUCUUAUUAUUGAUUUUUUAAAAAAUUAUUUUGAUCAAUUUAUCUCAAAUCUUUUUCACAUAAAUCUUUAUAAAAUAAGUUAUUGUAUAAAUUUACAUUCCACAUAUGCCAAUUUUAAUGACUUUUAUUUAAAUAGAUUUAACUAUUAAAUUUUUUUUAUAUAACUUUUAUUUAGUUAAUAAUUAGGCUUAUAAAACUAUAUAAAAAUAUAUAAAAGCAAAAAUUUAUUAUAACAAAAAUUUUAUAUCAGCGAUGUUGCCCGGUACUUCACUAGUAAGCAAUAUUCUAGGGUAUAUUUAGGCACCCGUAGCAGCACUCUUUUUACAGUUUAUCUAAUUUUAGGUCUAAUUUGGGGACGGCCGAUUCAAACUAGGCUUUGCUUGAAUUUUUAUUUUAAAAAAAAAAAUCCAACUCCAGCUCAUCCAUUACCUAAAAAAAUAAAAUUUAGAUAGCAGCAAGUAAGUACUUCGCUAUACGAGUGUCUCUAAUCAAUCAAAUUGUUCUCUGGGCGGCACCGACGGCACGGGGACGGCCGUUAGGGGGACGGCGAGCAUGAGCGUGGCGGCGAACUUAUCAGAGAGGUCGACGUUGACGGGGUGCAUCCCGCACGGCAGCCGCCAAUCGAAUGCGUGGAGGAUGGAGCCGAGCAUGAGCGGCACCACCCGCACGGCGAGCGGCAUCCCGGGGCACGCCCGCCGGCCGGAGCCGAACGGCAGAAACUCCAAGUCCUUCCCCCGGAAGUCCACCUCCCGCCCCCCCAGGAACCGCUCCGGCCGGAACUCCUCCGCCUCCGCCCACACCUCCGGGUCCCGCCCGAUCGCCCACGCAUUCACCAUCACCCGCGCCUCGCUCGGCACCGCGAACCCCGCCACCUCCAGGAACCCGACUUCCUGCUCCGUCUCGGACGGUUUAUGCGGGAGCAUCAGCGGUCCCGCCGGGUGCAGCCGCAUCGUCUCCUUCACCACCGCUUGAAGGAACGGGAGCCGCGCGACGUCGGAUUCCUCGAGUUCCUCCUUCGGUCCCAAAGUCUCCUGUAUCUCGGCGCGCGCCUUCGCGAGGACCGCAGGGUUGUGGAGCAGCUCCGCCAUCGCCCACUCCACCGUGUUCGAGCUGGUGUCGCUCCCCGCCCCAAAGAAGUCCUAUGUCAAUGCAUGCUCAGGAAAAAAAAUUAAGAGUUUCUGCCGAGGCGGGAAACUAAACUACAAAAACUGAAACUCCAAAAGGUACUGAUAUUUUUCCUGACUUUCCAGCCUACUUUUUUUGUUGGUUUAAUUGCCUAUAUAUAUCUUUCAAAGCAUCUAAAAUAUAUUUUUUAUUUUUAUUUUUUAUUUCAAAUCUAUCUUUUUAUAUUUUUUUAGUUAUUUAAAAAUAUUUCUGCUUCUAGUGUCACUUAAUUUAUCUCGAAUUAAAUCCAAAUUAAAUUUCUAACAUAUUUAAAAAAUAGUAGAAAAUAUUUUUUGCUCAUAACUNCUUUUUUGUAUGGAGAACUACAAGAAGAAGUCUACAUGUCAAUUCCUCCUGGACAUCCAAGAGAGGGGGAGCGAGACUUAGUUUGCCGAUUAAGAAAAUCAAUUUACGGAUUAAAGCAAUCUCCAAGAGCAUGGUUUGAAAAAUUAAGUUCAACUAUAACAAGUAUUGGCUUUGUAAGAAAUUCUGCUGAUUAUUCAAUGUUUGUUAAGAAGGAAGGGACGAGCACGACCAUUAUACUUGUUUACGUGGAUGAUAUCAUUCUCACAGGUGAUAAUCAAAAGGUAAUAGAGGAUGUUAAGAAAUGGUUAAAAAUUAUGUUUGAUAUCAAGGACCUUGGCGAAUUGAGAUACUUCCUUGGCAUCGAAGUCGCAAGAUCAAAGAAAGGAAUUUUUCUCUCUCAAAGGAAGUACACUUUGGACUUACUAAAAGAAACAGGUAAACUUGCUUCUAAACCCUUAGGGACUCCUGUUGAUAUUCAUCCUGACCUUAAAAAGGGCGAGUUGAUUGACAAUGUUGGAUUGUAUCAAAGGCUUGUUGGACGUUUGAUUUAUCUAACAAUCACUAGACCCGAUAUCUCUUAUGCUGUCAGCUUAGUUAGUAAAUUCAUGCAUUCUCCUCAAACAUCACACAUGAAUUCUGUGAAUAGAAUACUACGUUACUUAAAAUCUGAUCCAGGAAAAGGAAUUUUGAUGCGAAAGAAUGGCAAUUUAAAUAUUGUGGGCUACUCAGAUGCUGAUUGGGCAGGUUGUCCGAUUGAUAGGCAUUCUACUACAGGAUAUUGCACUCUACUUGGUGGUAACUUGGUAACCUGGAAAAGUAAAAAACAGAAUGUUGUUUCUCGUUCAAGUGCAGAAGCGGAAUACAGAGCCAUGGCAUCAACAGCUUGUGAGUUAGUAUGGUUGAAAGCUUUAUUGAAGGAUAUGGGAUUCAAUCAUGAUGGUCCGAUUCAGAUGAAAUGUGAUAAUCAAGCUGCUAUACAUAUUUCUACAAAUCCUGUUUUUCAUGAAAGAACAAAGCACAUCGAGGUAGACUGCCACUUUGUACGCGAAAAGGUACGAGCAAAAGUGAUUUCUACUCCAUACGUUGCUUCUGAAGAUCAAUUGGCUGAUAUGUUUACCAAGGCUAUUGGGAAAAAUCGGUUGUGAAACAACCGUUGUACUCUAAAAGCUUAAGCUGUUAGAGACCGGUGUUUAAACAUUUUUAUAUUUAACACUCCCCCUCACGUCUGGGCUCGAAACUUUUUAAUCGGCCCAUGACGUGGGCUUGAAUUAAAUGGGAGGAAAUUAAUAUGCUAGGAGUCUGGCAUGACUCGAACUCAGGACCUCCUGCUCUGAUACCAUGUGAAACAACCGUUGUACUCUAAAAAUUUAAGCUGUUAGAGACCGGUGUUUAAACAUUUUUAUAUUUAACAUAUUAUAUUUAUAUUAAUCGACGGUUCGAUUACAUCAACAAAAUAUAUUAGGAGAGAGCCACGUUUGCGUAUGAAGGCAAAAACUAAUAAGAUUUUGCUACAUAUUUGGUAAAAAUUUUGGAGACACCCAAUAUACCGUAAUCCGAUUUUAAAAUGUGCAUCAAAAAAUAAAUUUAUAUAAUACAAUAAAUUAUUUAGAUAUUUUAUAUAAAUUCAGCUAUUAUAGAGGACGGAUAACUUCGUUCUCCUCAAUUGUUUUAAAUGAUAAGAUUUUUGAAUCGACGAUUGUAAUUGUUAAAGUUAAUCUAAAGUAUUUAAAGUGCCAAUAAACAAAAUUUUACGAAUUUUAAAAAUUAUUUGCGUGGUGAUUAAAGGAUCAUAAAGUCGACAGUUUUAACAGUCUAUAUGAGCUGUUUACUUAUUUAACGAUGUAGAACAAUUCGAAUAGCUUGAAUUUUUUUACAGAAAAUUUUUUAUACUAUUUAAAUAAUAUUUUACAACUCUUAAAAAAAUUAAGAGCUUCUGCUGAGUCGGAAAGCUAAACUACAGAAACUGAAACUCCAAAAGGGACCGAUAGCAGAGUAGCUAUAUAUUUCUUUUCCUCAUCUAUUAUCUGCCAUACUCUCACUUGAGAAAAAUAAAUUCUUAAACCAUUUAGAGACAACAACCUUUUAUUUAUGAUACCUUUUGAUCCAUCUGAACUUUUUUUUGUAAUCCAUAUGAACUUUUUUCCAACUAUGGUGCUCUUUUUAUCGAGAGAUUGUAAAUUUUUUACUUUUAAUCAAAAGCCUUUCUUAGCUGCUAAGUUGAGGGUUUGAGUAAACGGUUCAUCCAGCAUUUGGUCAAAAGAUCUAGUUGAACAAUUUUUAAUUCCAGUCAUUCUCUCUUCUCUAACUUUUAAUUAUUUUAUUAUUUUUAUUGAUACAUUUUAUUAAAUGAGUAAAUAUAUUAAAUAUUUUAUUUUGAUAAUUAAUAUAUCGGGCUUUUGGGUCGGGCUCGGGCCGGACUUGGACAUACCCAAAUAGGCCCAAAUUUUAUUCGGGCCUAAAUUUUUAAGCCCGGUCUGAACCCAAAAUUAUAUUUUUAUACCCAAAGUCCGGCCCAAACAUGGCCCAUCCGGCCGGGCCUUGUUUAGGCCCGGGCCGAGUUCCACCCCUAUUCAGUCUCAGUCCUCUUCAUUUUAUCUAUAGUAAUACCUACGACUAGAGCGUUUGUGCCAUCCAUGCAAUAUAUAAUGGAAACCGUCAACCAAUAGAAGCCUGCCAAAUAUAUAAUAAAAAUUGCGGGUAACCCGCAUACCCACCCGCCCACCCGCGGGUGGGUAUGGGUAAAGAUUUUAACUAUCCAAAAAUUUGCGAGUAAAUUUUACCCAUACCCAAGUAAUCCGCGGGUACAAUAACCCGCCCGCGGGUUACCCAACCCGUCCGUUUGCCAGGCCUAGUAAUUAUAUUACUUAAGGAUUAACAUUGUUUAGUAAUUAUUUAUUAAAAUAUAAUAAUAAUAUCGCCAUAUCAUAAGCAAUAUUCUAAGUUAUACUCGGGUUACCGUAGCAGCACCCUUUUACGAGGAAUUCUACACUAUCGCACUUGCACCACGUCAUCAAUAACAAGCCAAUCACAUUCCUUCUUUUCAAACAAAAGUACAAUAAAAAUACUUUUUACAAUUAUGAUGGGACAUAUAUUCUUAAAAGGAUUAAUUUGAUUGGCUUGUUACGCCACGUCACUAAUAUACCCGCAUUCUAUAAUUUUUCCCCUUUUACAGUUUAUCUAACUUUAGGUCUAAUUUGGGUACGGCGGAUUCAAAUUAGGCUUUGCUUGAUUUUUUUUGUUUUUUAAAAAAAAUCCAAAAUAGCAGCAAUUACUGUAUUUAUACCGUGUCUCUAAUCAACUAAAUUGUUCUCUUCUCCGAGCGGCACCGGCAGCACGGGCACGGCCGUCAGGGGAACGGCAAGCGUGAGAGCGGCGGCGAACCUAUCAGAGAGGUCGACGUCGUCGGGCCGCAUCCCGCGCGGCAGCCGCCAAUCGAACGCGUGCAGGAUGGAGCCGAGCACGAGCGGCACCACCCGCACGGCGAGCGGCACCCCGGGGCACGCCCGCCGGCCGUAGCCGAACGGCAGGAACUCGA